GUGCUCACUUCAACAGCACAUACACUAAAAUUGGAACAAUACAGAGAAGAUUACCAUGGCCCCUGUGCAAGGAUGACAUGCAAAUUCAUGAAGCAUUCCAUAUUUUU
Molecule: small nuclear RNA, 107 nt
Organism: Leptonychotes weddellii (Weddell seal)
Lineage: Eukaryota; Metazoa; Chordata; Mammalia; Carnivora; Phocidae
Source: RefSeq, a predicted model, not a curated record